CGUCUAGGACGACCUAAAGGCUGACUUCUAAGAUUACCCCGAGGACGACCUUG
RNAcentral lists this non-coding RNA (53 nucleotides) under Ixodes scapularis (black-legged tick). RNAcentral's name for it is "Guanidine-II sequence". It matches the Rfam family "Guanidine-II riboswitch aptamer (mini-ykkC)". From Rfam's summary of the family: Simpler in structure and has fewer highly conserved nucleotide positions than the ykkC-yxkD leader. Despite this each of its two stem-loop structures directly bind free guanidine. The record is from RNAcentral. Lineage: Eukaryota; Metazoa; Arthropoda; Arachnida; Ixodida; Ixodidae.